CGUGCAUUCCUUCUCUCGCCGAAAGCUUCUUCUCCUCGUCUUCCCCUCCUCUCCCUCACGCCGCGCGCAACAUCUUCUCCCUCCCGAACCCACUUCGCAGAUUCCCUUCUCCCUUCACCUCUCCGCAUUGCUGCCGACGCCGACGGUCGCCUCCCUGGUGCCGGCGCUCAAGAGCCCUCCCUUUGCGUCGUUCCCUUCUCUCCCAACUCCUCUUCAUCACCCGACGGCACCGCCCGACGCCCCGCCACCCACUGCUGUCGUCGGUGUAGCCCAGCUCCGCAGCUAACCGAGGGAAAGCCUACCACGAUCUCCCCCUUCCAAUUUUCACUUGUGCCCUAGAUCUGGAUUAUCGCCGCCUCCUCUCAGUCUCUACCGACGCAGCUAACCCUAGAUCAACUGCGAACCACCGUUGUUGUGUGCUGCCAUGAGGUCCACCGUUAGUUCCUCUUCUCCACGCCAUUGCCACUGUCAAUGCUUUCCUUCCGGUGAGCAAUGGGUGCUCCUCAGGCAGAGAUAGGGAAGGAGCAGUGAACCUUCGGCAGAAACAAUGAAGUUGUUGGAUCAGCCAUUGUAGCUCCAACCCUUCUUCCGGCAGCAGCUUCACAGUAGCUUAUAUCAUGAAUUUCAGUAGCAAGCUUCUUCGACUGUGAAUUCUACAACGGAGCAUCCAGUUUGGGACUUUGAGUUGAGACGAGCGUCUCAACAUAGAGAUAGUUAGGAUGAUCUAUAUAAAGGUAGCAGGUAGAUUUUGGAGUUGCUUGGAGUAUCUUGUCUGCCGGUUCCCACAUCACAUCCGAAGACUUAUUUCUGGUUUUCAUUUGUACUUUAUUUGGUCUAUGUUUUUGGUUUACUUAGCAAUGUAAAAUUUUGAUUUUUGGUUCCGGAGUGUUGUGAUGUGGUGUUUUGUAUUGUUUGUUGUGUUGUGUAAGUCUAGCUGGCUAGCGGUCAUUCUUUUGGUUUGUAAUGAUUUUCUGUUGUAUUUCCACUGUGUGCUUCUUUUUAGUACAACCGAGUGGGUUAUUAGAUAUAUAUAUAUAACU
Long non-coding RNA from Zingiber officinale, 1040 nucleotides. RefSeq lists it as uncharacterized. The transcript is spliced from 4 exons. Lineage: Eukaryota; Viridiplantae; Streptophyta; Magnoliopsida; Zingiberales; Zingiberaceae. The record is from RefSeq and is a predicted model, not a curated record.